UGGGUUAUGACAUCUURGUAAGCAAAACUGCAUUUCAAAAAAUACUGUAAUGGAAAUUAGCGAUUAAUUUAUUGCUCAGUACUCAAAAUAAAAGUGGGGAUACAGAAUAUAUAUAUAUAAAUGCACUUAAAAGUUCUGACACUUUCUAAAAUCCGAAUAUGUAACCCGAUUGUUUCCAUCAGACCAAAUGCUUCAUCUGCGGCAUCGGGAACGACUACUUUGAUCGGACGCCUCACGGGUUUGAAACUCACACCCUGCAAGAGCACAACCUGGCCAACUACCUGUUCUUCCUGAUGUACCUAAUCAACAAGGAUGAGACUGAACACACGGGUCAGGAGUCGUACGUGUGGAAGAUGUACCAGGAGAGAUGCUGGGACUUCUUCCCUGCAGGAGACUGCUUCCGUAAGCAAUACGAGGACCAGCUGGGUUAGGAGGGGGGGC
Poecilia reticulata (guppy) is the source of this 441-nucleotide non-coding RNA. The record is from RefSeq and is a predicted model, not a curated record. NCBI's taxonomy places the organism in Eukaryota, Metazoa, Chordata, Actinopteri, Cyprinodontiformes, Poeciliidae.